Pectinophora gossypiella (pink bollworm) is the source of this 772-nucleotide long non-coding RNA. RefSeq lists it as uncharacterized. The transcript is spliced from 3 exons. NCBI's taxonomy places the organism in Eukaryota, Metazoa, Arthropoda, Insecta, Lepidoptera, Gelechiidae. The record is from RefSeq and is a predicted model, not a curated record.
CAGGGGGGCUACCGGCUAAGACGAAGCCGAUUCAGAUUGGAGCAAAUCGAACAUCGAUUUGAUUCUGUCGUACCGCGUAAGCAGCCAAGAUGGCGAUCCCCGAUUCGUGACGUCACAUGAAGUUCGGCAAGCCGAUUGAACGAAUGAUUUCAGUACUUUUGACACUAAAUCGCUACCGCGUAAAAAAUCGAAGUUCGGCGCCUGAAGCCGAUUCCCAUUGGAAGUGUCAGUUGAAGCCGGGCACUUUUCAGUAACCGUGAUCAAUUUUAAUUUCUUAUUUUCACUGUUUUUCAACAAUAUUAGGAGCUAUUUACGGUGGGCGACAAAUUUUAGGAACAUCUUAAUCAAUAUAAAAUUGAUAUCGGCGUGGAUUUUCGUGUUUAAAUACCUAAAUACAGUGUCAUGGAGAUAGUCGUUUUAUGGGCUGCUGCGGAAGAAAAUGUCUUCAGAAUCUUGAGCAAAUCGAUUGCAGGAUACUUCGAGAGAAAAGCCAGUAUAUACUUCUCACAGAGAGUAGCUACAUUAAUAAUUUUAGAUUAUCAAAAGAUGCAUUUCGGACUUUGUAUCAUGACUUAGGACCAUAUCUGGAGGUCCAAUGCUCUACAACUUUGCAAUCGACUUUAAGUGACAAAUGCCCUCAAUCAGCCUGCAAUCGUGAGAUAAUAUAUCAAGUUUCCUCGGACAAAAACUGAGCAUGUAGAAGUCUCCAGAGGUUUUAAUGACAAAUUUGGAUUUCUUGGAGUACUUGGAUGCAUCCACGGCACACACAUUG